RNAcentral lists this transfer RNA (87 nucleotides) under Clostridia bacterium. Its description in RNAcentral is "tRNA-Leu". It matches the Rfam family "tRNA". From Rfam's summary of the family: Transfer RNA (tRNA) molecules are approximately 80 nucleotides in length. The record is from RNAcentral. Lineage: Bacteria; Bacillati; Bacillota; Clostridia.
GCGGGCGUGGCGGAACUGGCAGACGCGCAAGAUUCAGGUUCUUGUGCUCGUUAGGGCAUGCAGGUUCAAUUCCUGUCGCCCGCACCA